GGACUCUACCCACACACUCACUGGACUCUACCCACACACUCACUGGACUCUACUCACACACUCACUGGACUCUACCCACACACUCAUUGGACUCUACUCACACACUCACUGGAUUCUACCCACACACUGACUGGACUCUACCCACACACUGACUGGUCUCUACCCACACACUCACUGGAUUCUACCCACACACUCACUGGUCUCUACCCACACACUCACUGGAUUCUACCCACACACUCACUGGACUCUCAAAUCAAACUGUAAUCUCUGCCGCUCAGUCAUGUUGUCAACAAGGCAGCAUGGUGCAUCUUCCUGAAAACAUAUAUUUUCCAUAAAAAUAGAUUUUUUUACAUUUUUAACUGAGUCAGACAACGCGUUUUUAUCAAAAGCAAUCACUUUUGCGAAAACCCAGAAUCCUACUAAUUACUUCACGCGCUUAAUUACGUUGCUUUUGUUUUGAGCCGAUUUCGCCUUGGGCUUUGGCUCACGCAUGGGAGGCAACCCGGUUCCAAAACAAAUACAAUAAACUUUCAUCUGGGCCAGAUUAAUCAAAUACCCUCAUUUAUACAUGAAUCCUGCAAAGAUACUUCUUGUUUCAAUUAGGUAUUUGGUCACAUUCGCAUGACUCAAACAAAAACACCAUAACGAUUGGUUGACAAUCGAGCCUCCCACAACACAGAUCGAUGGCUGCAUGGUGAAGUUGUUGAAGAGCAACUGCAGAAACUUGCAGAUGACUGCAGCAAAGAUCGGGUACGUUCAAGUAGAUCAAUUUGUCAAGUCGUUGGUCACAGCCUUUCAAAGUGUGUUGCAUUAUGGGGCAAUAAAAUGAUCUCACUUGCAUCAAUAUGUCGACUGCAUGAACUUUACAAAAAUCCUUUUAUUAAAGGUCAUGAAGUUUCAACUACGUUUUUUUCAGUUGCUCUUCACCAGCUUCAUCCUGAAGCCAUCACCUGCAUAGUGGGAGGCUCAAUUGUCAACCAUCAUAAGGUUGUUAUUGUUUGACCCACACUAAAGUGACCAAAGACGUGACUAAAAACAGGAAGCAACUUUGCCGCGAUUCAUAUGUGUACAGUGGAUAUGUACAAAUUAAUGUGAUAUUUGAGGCUCACACAUGAUUUUAAGGUUGUAAAUGUGUGAUAUGGGGUUGGAAACAUGUUUAUUUCGAUAUUAAAUAAAU
Oncorhynchus tshawytscha (Chinook salmon) is the source of this 1177-nucleotide long non-coding RNA. The record is from Ensembl. Lineage: Eukaryota; Metazoa; Chordata; Actinopteri; Salmoniformes; Salmonidae.